UCGGGUCGACGACGUUUUUCUUUUCAGGAAAAAAGGUGUGUGUGUAAAAUCCAAACAUAGAAUUUCCCAGUCGCUACUGAAGUGCGGAAAAGCUGAAACCAGACACCACACACACACACAUACAUACAAACAGAUACAUUUUACUCA
Anopheles merus is the source of this 147-nucleotide long non-coding RNA. RefSeq lists it as uncharacterized. The record is from RefSeq and is a predicted model, not a curated record. The transcript has 2 exons. Lineage: Eukaryota; Metazoa; Arthropoda; Insecta; Diptera; Culicidae.